CCGGGACUCAGCAGGAUUCAAUGGAUAUCAGGAUGUUGUGUGGGCUGUUUUCGUGUUUUUGAUUUUCUCUGGUUCAGUGCUCAACGCCAAAUGUAUAUAUAUAUAUAUAUACGAAUUAGUUAAAGAUAAUUGCAUAAUGCAUAAUCGUAAACAAUUAAAAUUAUGUUAAUAAUCCAAGUUCGCUACAUCGAUCAUGUCGAGAUAGGUUUUGUAACCUCAAUAAUGAUAAACUUAAAUUCUACGAUACAGUUAUUCGUUUUCGUUUCGUGGAAAAACGCGAAUGAGCCAAAAUUCGGAGCACGCACCCGAAAACGAUGCAGAAAGGAAAUAUCUCAAAGAGCACACACGCCCCGAUCGGCAGAUGUUUCUCCUCACGGGUCAUCGCGAGCGAUGCUAGCGUGAAGGCGCGAUUGUCGAAGGUUUGACGCGAAAGAAUAUAUAACUUUUUCGAGAUGCGGACGGCUAAUUCACCUUGACGAGUCUCAUUUUCGCAAAUAAACGAAGGUGCUC
This is a long non-coding RNA of Wasmannia auropunctata (little fire ant), 510 nucleotides long. RefSeq lists it as uncharacterized. The transcript has 3 exons. The record is from RefSeq and is a predicted model, not a curated record. Lineage: Eukaryota; Metazoa; Arthropoda; Insecta; Hymenoptera; Formicidae.